RNAcentral lists this long non-coding RNA (386 nucleotides) under Mytilus galloprovincialis (Mediterranean mussel). The record is from RNAcentral. Lineage: Eukaryota; Metazoa; Mollusca; Bivalvia; Mytilida; Mytilidae.
UUUUUUAUACGACCGCAAAAAUUGAAAAUUUUUGGUCGUAUAUUGGUAUCACGUUGGCGUCGUCGUCUGCGUCGUCGUCGUCGUCCGAAUACUUUUAGUUUUCGCACUCUAACUUUAGUAAAAGUGAAUAGAAAUCCAUGAAAUUUUAACACAAGGUUUAUGACCACAAAAGGAAGGUUAGAUUGAUUAUAGGAGUUUUGGUCCCAACAUUUUAGGAAUUAGGGGCCAAAAAGGGCCCAAAUAAGCAUUUUCUUGGUUUUCGCACUAUAACUUUAGUUUAAGUGAAAAGAAAUCUAUGAAAUUUUGACACAAGGUUUAUGACCACAAAAGGAAGGUUGGGAUUGAUUUUGGGAGUUUUGGUUUCAACAGUUUAGGAAUUAGGGGCG